GUGCUCACUUCAGCAGCACAUAUACUGAAAUUGGAACAGUACAGAGAAGAUUAGCAUGAUCCCCGCGCAAGGAUGAUAUGCAAAUUCAAGAAGCAUUAAAAAAAAUU
This 107-nucleotide small nuclear RNA is filed under the name Cercocebus atys (sooty mangabey). The record is from RNAcentral. Lineage: Eukaryota; Metazoa; Chordata; Mammalia; Primates; Cercopithecidae.